GAUGAACGCUGGCGGCGUGCCUAAUACAUGCAAGUCGAGCGAACAGACGAGGAGCUUGCUCCUCUGACGUUAGCGGCGGACGGGUGAGUAACACGUGGAUAACCUACCUAUAAGACUGGGAUAACUUCCGGAAACCGGAGCUAAUACCGGAUAAUAUAUUGAACCGCAUGGUUCAAUAGUGAAAGACGGUUUUGCUGUCACUUAUAGAUGGAUCCGCGCCGCAUUAGCUAGUUGGUAAGGUAACGGCUUACCAAGGCGACGAUGCGUAGCCGACCUGAGAGGGUGAUCGGCCACACUGGAACUGAGACACGGUCCAGACUCCUACGGGAGGCAGCAGUAGGGAAUCUUCCGCAAUGGGCGAAAGCCUGACGGAGCAACGCCGCGUGAGUGAUGAAGGUCUUCGGAUCGUAAAACUCUGUUAUUAGGGAAGAACAAAUGUGUAAGUAACUAUGCACGUCUUGACGGUACCUAAUCAGAAAGCCACGGCUAACUACGUG
Molecule: ribosomal RNA, 497 nt
Filed under: uncultured bacterium
Lineage: Bacteria
Description: partial 16S ribosomal RNA
Rfam family: Bacterial small subunit ribosomal RNA
Source: RNAcentral